This 646-nucleotide long non-coding RNA is filed under the name Olea europaea subsp. europaea. Lineage: Eukaryota; Viridiplantae; Streptophyta; Magnoliopsida; Lamiales; Oleaceae. The record is from RNAcentral.
UGUUAUUUGGCUUUGUAUUUGGGGAGGAAAAUUGAACCCUAGUUGAGAAAAUUGAAAUUUCAUCGCAUGAUAAUUUCUUGCACGUUAAGUUUCACAUAAACCAUUUAAUAUGAUUGGAUAGAUCUUCUUGAGAUCUUUCUAACGAUAUAAAGAACAUAAAUUUUGGUCUUAAAUUGAAGAAGUUAUGGCCUUCCGAAAUUUCAGCAGAAAUCUGAAAAAAAAAUUGUUUUUUUCGGACGAUGAACAGUAACCGGGAAAAAAAAAGGAACUGAAACUGUUGCUGUGGAGUGAGAUUCAUAUUUUGAAAAUUCAUGUAGGUCCCUCAAUUAUUGUAGAUGCGAUUUGAGAAAUUUCAUGUUAGUCCCCAUACUUUUAAAUGUUUCCAAAUGCAAUUGGAAAAAUUGCAUGGUAGUCCCCACACUUUUUGAAUGUUAAUUAUUUCAAAUGCAAUUUGAGAAAUUGCAAGUUAGUCCCACACUUUUGAAUAUUUUCAAAUACAGUUUGAAAAAUUGCAUGUUGGUCCCCAACUUUUUUGAAUGUUGAUUAUUCCAAAUACAAUUUGAGAAAUUGCAUGUUAGUUACCACACUUUUAAACGUUUUCAAAUGCAAUUUGAAAAUUUGUAUUUUGGUCCCAAAACUAUUUUUG